AAAAAGACAAACCCUGGUUUCCGUGCCCAACGUUUGACCGUCCGUCUUAUUUAAAAAAAUUACGAAAAAAAUUAAAAAGACAAGUCACACAUAAAAUAUUAAUCAUGUUUUAUCAUCUAACAACAAUAAAAAUACGAAUUAUAAAAAAAUUUCAUAUAAGACAGACAGUCAAAGUUGGACACGAAAACUCAGGGUUUGCCUUUUU
This 205-nucleotide microRNA precursor is filed under the name Oryza sativa Japonica Group (Japanese rice). RNAcentral's name for it is "MIR812 microRNA precursor family". It matches the Rfam family "MIR812 microRNA precursor family". Lineage: Eukaryota; Viridiplantae; Streptophyta; Magnoliopsida; Poales; Poaceae. The record is from Rfam by way of RNAcentral.